Molecule: ribosomal RNA, 434 nt
Filed under: uncultured bacterium
Lineage: Bacteria
Description: bacterial SSU rRNA
Rfam family: Bacterial small subunit ribosomal RNA
Source: RNAcentral
GGAUGAAUAUUGGUCAAUGGACGCAAGUCUGAACCAGCCAUGCCGCGUGCAGGAAGAAGGUGCUAUGCAUUGUAAACUGCUUUUAUACGGGGGUAAUUACAGAUACGUGUAUCUGGUUGAAAGUACCGUAUGAAUAAGGAUCGGCUAACUCCGUGCCAGCAGCCGCGGUAAUACGGAGGAUCCGAGCGUUAUCCGGAUUUAUUGGGUUUAAAGGGUGCGUAGGCGGUCAGGUAAGUUAGAGGUGAAAGCUCGAUGCUCAACAUCGAAACUGCCUCUGAUACUGUCUGACUAGAGUGUAGUUGCGGAAGGCGGAAUGUGUGGUGUAGCGGUGAAAUGCUUAGAUAUCACACAGAACACCGAUUGCGAAGGCAGCUUUCCAAGCUAUUACUGACGCUGAGGCACGAAAGCGUGGGGAGCGAACAGGAUUAGAUACC